UCCCUUGAACCUGUAGCUUCCUCAAUAAGCCAUAGAAUUCCCUUUUCCUUCCCUUACACGUCGGCUUCCAAGAGAAAGAAACAAAUUCUCUUCUCUUUAGCAUCCAUCGGCUUCUAGAGCAAGGAAAAGAAGAAAAACUCUUCCAGCCUCACCUUGUGACUACAACCCACCUCUCUCCCAUUCUAUUUCUCUUCCAAUCUCAAGCCAAGCAUCUAUUUUUCCUCCUUCUCAAGAGGGAAAUAGCAAGGAGUUUAUUUUCAAGAUUCAAGGAACCUACUAGUAAAGCAUCAAAGUAUGGAUGAAGAGGCUGUGGAGCCAGGCACUACUGAGGAGGGAGGGGCUGAUGUUUAGAGUUCCCCUGUCGGUUCGACUUUUGAUGAUAAUGGUUUAUGUUUUUUUUAUGUUUUUUUUUUUUUUUUUAUGUUUUACGGUGGGUCCCGUGUUGGGACGUUUUGUUGGAUUAACUUUAAGACAAUAUAUCUUUUAGGUAUGUUUUAAAUACUA
Juglans microcarpa x Juglans regia is the source of this 504-nucleotide long non-coding RNA. RefSeq lists it as uncharacterized. The transcript has 3 exons. The record is from RefSeq and is a predicted model, not a curated record. NCBI's taxonomy places the organism in Eukaryota, Viridiplantae, Streptophyta, Magnoliopsida, Fagales, Juglandaceae.